ACCGGGCGUGGUGGCACAUGCCUGUAGUCCCAGCUACUUGGGAAGCUGAGGUGGGAGGAUUGCUUGAACCCAGGAAUUCUGGGCUGUAGUGCGCUAUGCCGAUUGGGUGUCUGCACUAAGUUCGGCAUCGCGAUGACCUCCCAGGAGCGGAGGACCACCAGGUUGCCUAAGGAGGGGUGAACCGGCCCAGGUUGGAAACGGAUCAGGUUAAAACUCUCGUGCUGAUAAGUAGUGGGAUUGCACCUGUGAAUAGCCACUGCACUCCAGCCUGGGCAACAGAGCGAGACCCUGUCUCU
Molecule: signal recognition particle RNA, 296 nt
Filed under: Aotus nancymaae (Ma's night monkey)
Lineage: Eukaryota; Metazoa; Chordata; Mammalia; Primates; Aotidae
Description: Metazoan signal recognition particle RNA (ENSANAG00000006034.1)
Rfam family: Metazoan signal recognition particle RNA
About the family: The signal recognition particle (SRP) is a universally conserved ribonucleoprotein.
Source: RNAcentral